AUUUUUGUCUCGUCUUUUAUACUGAGGAUCAUCGUACCGUAAGAAGGAAUGUCUGGACGCGGAAAGGGUGGCUAGGGUUGGCGAAGGAAGGUGCCGAACGUGAACGAUUCGCAGUCUUCCCACACAUAUGACAAGAAAUGACUGAACGUGGAAAGCAAGGAACGGAGUUGGAUAAUGGACGUGUAAAGCGUCACCGUUACAGAAAGUGAUUCGUGACAACGUCCGGUGCAUCACCAAGGCACGAGUCUUUCCGAGACAUAGACAAGCAAGGCCUGCCGGGAAAAUGUGGGCAAAGGAGGUGCCAGGCAUCCAAGGAGACAGUGGUCCUGGCGGAAGCCGUCUUGGUGCCACUUCCCAUAGUUGGAUUCGUUGAAAGUCGUCUUCAUCAGCUUCUUGAGAAGACAUUUCAUAACUGGAUGUUUAGAGGACAGUCCGUAUGUCAAUCAUCUCUACAAGACCUGAUGGACAUCAGUCUUUCACGGACAUAUGACAAGAAAUGCCUGGACUUGCUAAGGGCGAAGGAGCUGGGAAUGGAGGCUUCAGGUGCUACCAUCACUGACGGUGCUUCGUGGCAACAUCCAGUUCAUCACCAAGCCAAGGAGUCAUUCAGUCUCUCCAAGGCUCCUUUUGCACACAGGGCUUCAGUCCGUUUCUGUGUUAUACAGGCCCAAUGUGUGACUGGUUUGGUUUCUGUGGCUGUGUCGAUGGUCGGCAUUGUUUUUAGUGUUACUCUAAAUUCUGUUUUUUAGAAAUCAGGAACUUUCCUGGUUCACCAUCUGGUGUCAUAUCUGUUUUAUGUCGUGGUCAGUGGUUGUCGGGGACCUAGACCAUUACAUAAUCUGCCUCGUGUCGUUAUCUUGGGUCCCGAACCAAGAGAACGACACAGGCCAGAAAUGAAGACAGGUGGUUGAAGAGCCUAUUUGAUAUUAGUAGUUUAGUCCUUUAGACACACUAUACUUUUUGGUGUCGACACAGUCACAGAAACCGAAUCAUUGCAGACAGAAUGCCAAGUGUGCAUUAUGUAUAUCAAGAUGUUAGAUUCAUGUAGUUAAGCUUGCCUAUUCCCAUAUUUUUGAGUCAAGCUUCAUGUUGGUCUCGUAUUGCAAAGAGGUUUGGAGAUACUGAGCUGUACAGACAUGCGUAUUUUGUA
Branchiostoma floridae (Florida lancelet) is the source of this 1150-nucleotide long non-coding RNA. RefSeq lists it as uncharacterized. NCBI's taxonomy places the organism in Eukaryota, Metazoa, Chordata, Leptocardii, Amphioxiformes, Branchiostomatidae. The record is from RefSeq and is a predicted model, not a curated record. The transcript is spliced from 4 exons.